AAAAAGGAGGAUGCUCUGGAACGCUGCAUAACUCCAGGGAAUUUGUCUGCUCUGGGGAAAAAAAAAGGCUGAAAAUAGGACAUUGAAUAGGAUAUGACUGAUGAAAUGUUGAAGAUUUUCUUAAAUUCCACUUGAAGGAAUUUGCAAAAUCCUCAGUCUGUGAUUUUAAACAAUGCAUUCAAGUAGGAUGGACACACGCCUUUCAGGUCUGAAACCACCUGUCAGCCUGAGAAUGGAAUAAAUCACCUUGCACCAUACCAUACCUUUCCCAAUGCGGAUCACAUGGCCAACAAGAGGGAGCAUAAGGUGACACCAGUCUUCACGUCAAGUUAGUUAUGGUGCCAGGCUCCCCACUGAGCAGGGAGCCAGACCAUAUGGGGCUCCAUCGCAGGACCCUGGGAUCUUGACCUGAGCCAAAGGGAGACACUUAACUGACCUAGCCACCCAGGCACCCCCCAGAGAAUUUUUGCUUUCUCAAAGAAAAGCCAUAAUCCUACUAACAGUCUUUCGUGAAAGCAAAGUAGCAUAAAACAAAGUUUCAGGAGGUGGGAUACUCUUCUAUGUCCUUUAAGCUUAUGAAAAGUUUCACAGAACACUCUACUCUCAGAUAGCAGGAGGAACCUGUAUCUAUGAGAAAAGAGCUGAGGAAACGAAGGCAUCGGUUGUGCGGUUCUCCAGUGGAAAGAACAUCUCAGGCACAGGAAACAGCAGUUAAAGUGGCCUGAGAGGGAAGCUGCCUUGCAAGUUUAAAGAGACUGCAGAGACCAGGGUAGAGCAGGGGUGAAGUGAGUAAGGGAGUGAAUACAGGUGACAGGUCAGAAGGGCAAUGGGGGGGCAACAAUCUGGGCAGGGCAUGGCAGACCAUUUUAAGAACGUGUCUUUUGGCCUGAGUGAGAUGGGAAUCCAAUAAAUGGCUUUGAGCAGAGGAGUGAGAUAAUGGAUGGGCUUUAACAAAUCAUUGUGGCAGUGUGCUAGCAGUAAGCUGGAGAUAAACCAAAGGGUGAAAACAUGGAGACCAAUUAGGAGGCUGCUGAAGUAAUCUCUCAGGAGACAAUGGGGAUUUGAACCAGGAUGGUGGCAUGGAGGUGGUGAGCGGUGGUUGGCAUGGUUGUAUUUUUUUAAAAAAUAUGUUUUAUUGGGCUGUAAAUGGACAUUCUCUGGUUUUAUUCUAUUAAAAAAAAUAUUCUCAGUAAACUCUAUGCCCAGUGUGAGCCUUGA
This is a long non-coding RNA of Mustela erminea (ermine), 1218 nucleotides long. RefSeq lists it as uncharacterized. NCBI's taxonomy places the organism in Eukaryota, Metazoa, Chordata, Mammalia, Carnivora, Mustelidae. The record is from RefSeq and is a predicted model, not a curated record. The transcript has 3 exons.